AGUUUGAUCCUGGCUCAGAUUGAACGCUGCGACAAGCUACGUAAGUCGAACGGCAGCACGGACUUCGGUCUGGUGGCGAGUGGCGAACGGGUGAGUAAUGUAUCGGAACGUGCCUAGUAGCGGGGAUAACUACGCGAAAAGCGUAGCUAAUACGCAUACGCCCUUCGGGGGAAAGCGGGGGGACCUUCGGGCCUCGCACUAUUAGAGCGGCCGAUAUCGGAUUAGCUAGUUGGUGGGGUAACGGCUCACCAAGGCGACGACCCGGGCUGGCUCGAGAGGACGACCAGCCACACUGGGACCGAGACACGGCCCAGACUUUCACGGGAGGGCAGUGGGGAAUUUUGGACAAUGGGGAAACCUCCUGAUCCAGCCAUCCCGGCAAGUGAUGAAGGCCUUAAUAAAGCACUUUGGGCAGAAGAAACUGCACGGGAUAAUACCCCGCAAUUGACGGUACCUGCAGAAUAAGCAUCAUUAACGACAGCAGCCGCGUACACAGUAAGCGUUAAUCGGAAUUACUGGGCGUAAAAGCGUGCGCAGGCGGUUCGGAAAGAAAGAUGUGAAAUCCCAGAGCUUAACUUUGGAACUGCAUUUUUAACUACCGAGCUAGGAGUGUGUCAGGAGGGAGGUGGAAUUCCGCGUGUAGCAGUGAAAUGCGUAGAUAUGGAGGAACAAUUACUUACAGAAGGCAGCCUCCUGGGAUAACACUGACGCUCAUGCACGAAAGCGUGGGGAGCAAACAGGAUUGAUAUUCCCGGUAAUCCAACGCUCAAACGAUGUCAACUAGCUGUUGGGGCCUCUCGCUGGUAGCGCAGCUAACGCGUGAAGUUGACCGCCUGGGGAGUACGGUCGCAAGAUUAAACUCAAAGGAAUUGACGGGGACCCGCACAAGCGGUGGAUGAUGUGGAUUAAUUCGAUGCAACGCGAAAACCUUACCUACCCUUGACAUGUCUGAAUCCCGAAGAGAUUUGGGAGUGCUCGCAAGAGAACCGGAACACAGGUGCUGCAUGGCUGUCGUCAGCUCGUGUCGUGAGAUGUUGGGUUAAGUCUCGCAACGAGCGCAACCCUUGUCAUUAGUUGCUACGAAAGGGCACUCUAAUGAGACUGCCGGUGACAAACCGGAGGAAGGUGGUAGAGAUGACGUCAAGUCCCUAUGGCCCUUAUGGGUAGGGCUUCACACGUCAUACAAUGGUCGGGACAGAGGGUCGCCAACCCGCGAGGGGGAGCCAAUCCCAUGAAACCUGAUCGUAGUCCGGAUCGCAGCCUGCAACUCGACUGCGUGAAGUCAAAUUCCAGUAAUCGCGGAUCAGCAUGUCGCGGUGAAUACGUUCCGGGUCUUGUACACACCGCCCGUCACACCAUGGGGAUGGUUUUACCAGAAGUAGUUAGCCCAACCGUAAGGAGGGCGGACACACGGUAGGAUUCAUGACUGGGGUGAAGUCGUACCGGCAGUAG
This 1452-nucleotide ribosomal RNA is filed under the name uncultured Bordetella sp. Its description in RNAcentral is "partial 16S-23S ribosomal RNA intergenic spacer". It matches the Rfam family "Bacterial small subunit ribosomal RNA". The record is from RNAcentral. Lineage: Bacteria; Pseudomonadati; Pseudomonadota; Betaproteobacteria; Burkholderiales; Alcaligenaceae.